CUACGGGGGGCUGCAGUGGGGAAUAUUGCACAAUGGGCGAAAGCCUGAUGCAGCAACGCCGCGUGAGGGACGACGGCCUUCGGGUUGUAAACCUCUUUUAGCAGGGAAGAAGCGAAAGUGACGGUACCUGCAGAAAAAGCACCGGCUAACUACGUGCCAGCAGCCGCGGUAAUACGUAGGGUGCAAGCGUUAUCCGGAAUUAUUGGGCGUAAAGAGCUCGUAGGCGGUUUGUCGCGUCUGCUGUGAAAACUGGAGGCUCAACCUCCAGCCUGCAGUGGGUACGGGCAGACUAGAGUGCGGUAGGGGAGAUUGGAAUUCCUGGUGUAGCGGUGGAAUGCGCAGAUAUCAGGAGGAACACCGAUGGCGAAGGCAGAUCUCUGGGCCGUAAC
This 389-nucleotide ribosomal RNA is filed under the name Microbacterium sp. Its description in RNAcentral is "bacterial SSU rRNA". It matches the Rfam family "Bacterial small subunit ribosomal RNA", at positions 339 to 740 of the family's 1533-position model. Lineage: Bacteria; Bacillati; Actinomycetota; Actinomycetes; Micrococcales; Microbacteriaceae. The record is from RNAcentral.